Molecule: ribosomal RNA, 484 nt
Filed under: uncultured bacterium
Lineage: Bacteria
Description: partial 16S ribosomal RNA
Rfam family: Bacterial small subunit ribosomal RNA
Source: RNAcentral
AUUGAACGCUGGCGGCAGGCCUAACACAUGCAAGUCGAACGGAUGAAGGGAGCUUGCUCCUGGAUUCAGCGGCGGACGGGUGAGUAAUGCCUAGGAAUCUGCCUGGUAGUGGGGGAUAACGUCCGGAAACGGGCGCUAAUACCGCAUACGUCCUGAGGGAGAAAGUGGGGGAUCUUCGGACCUCACGCUAUCAGAUGAGCCUAGGUCGGAUUAGCUAGUUGGUGGGGUAAAGGCCUACCAAGGCGACGAUCCGUAACUGGUCUGAGAGGAUGAUCAGUCACACUGGAACUGAGACACGGUCCAGACUCCUACGGGAGGCAGCAGUGGGGAAUAUUGGACAAUGGGCGAAAGCCUGAUCCAGCCAUGCCGCGUAUGUGAAGAAGGUCUUCGGAUUGUAAAGCACUUUAAGUUGGGAGGAAGGGCAGUAAGUUAAUACCUUGCUGUUUUGACGUUACCAACAGAAUAAGCACCGGCUAACUUCGUG